Long non-coding RNA from Silurus meridionalis, 355 nucleotides. RefSeq lists it as uncharacterized. The transcript has 3 exons. NCBI's taxonomy places the organism in Eukaryota, Metazoa, Chordata, Actinopteri, Siluriformes, Siluridae. The record is from RefSeq and is a predicted model, not a curated record.
GUGACUCUCAGGACACGCCUCCGUCUCCGUAGUGUUGCGAUACGUCAUGUUCACGUAGCAGCAGCGGUGCUGAGAGAACGUGCUCGACAAGUCAGGACUUCCUGUGGGACUGAUGGCGGUAAAAACAGUGUUUAGCAGACGCCCUGAUCCAGAGCAGAGCGACGAUGAGACCGGGAUUAAUCUAAGACGAAAACUCGGUCUUUCUCUUGGUGCUGUAAGCUGCUGGAUGCUAAUGAUGUGAUGAAUGGUAUGAUGGAGAAGCUGAGAUGUUCACCAUCAUCCCUUACUGCACUCACUGCUCUUUAACACAGGCCGCAGAUGGUUUGGGUUUGGAUCACCAUCAUUGUUCUACAUG